ACUGAGCUUAGUAGCAUGAGCUUGUAACCCAAGUGGGAGCAAUAAGAUGAUUGGGACAAAUCAAAUCUUCAGCCCUUGACACAAAUAGUGCGUUGGUUUGGGUUUAUAAUAAUAAGCGGUUCUUGGUUCUUGGUAUAGUACUAGAUCAGCAUGUUGUCUAUUGUCUACCCGACAUAGCAGUGGGAGUAGAGGGGGUAACUGAUGACUCUCCCCUCAUUGGCUGGCUUAACAGAGCAGCGCUCUCACAUUCCCAAGUUCGCGCACACUCCCAAGUCACCACUAGAGAUGUCAGACUGUUAUUGAUUUGGACCAUCAUCUUU
RNAcentral lists this non-coding RNA (320 nucleotides) under Solanum tuberosum (potato). The record is from RNAcentral. Lineage: Eukaryota; Viridiplantae; Streptophyta; Magnoliopsida; Solanales; Solanaceae.